This 425-nucleotide ribosomal RNA is filed under the name uncultured bacterium. RNAcentral describes it as "partial 16S ribosomal RNA". It matches the Rfam family "Bacterial small subunit ribosomal RNA", at positions 354 to 796 of the family's 1533-position model. The record is from RNAcentral.
GUGGGGAAUCUUGCGCAAUGGGCGAAAGCCUGACGCAGCCAUGCCGCGUGAAUGAUGAAGGUCUUAGGAUUGUAAAAUUCUUUCACCGGGGACGAUAAUGACGGUACCCGGAGAAGAAGCUCCGGCUAACUUCGUGCCAGCAGCCGCGGUAAUACGAAGGGGGCUAGCGUUGCUCGGAAUUACUGGACGUAAAGGGCGCGUAGGCGGACAGCUUAGUCAGAGGUGAAAGCCCAGGGCUCAACCUUGGAAUUGCCUUUGAUACUGGCUGUCUUGAGUUUGGGAGAGGUGAGUGGAACUCCGAGUGUAGAGGUGAAAUUCGUAGAUAUUCGGAAGAACACCAGUGGCGAAGGCGACUCACUGGCCCAAUACUGACGCUGAGGUGCGAAAGCGUGGGGAGCAAACAGGAUUAGAAACCCCAGUAGUCC